AGUGGCGACCGGGUGAGUAACACGUGACUAACCUACCUCCGAGUGGGGAAUAACUCCGGGAAACCGGGGCUAAUACCGCAUAACAUCGCAAGAUCAAAGCAGCAAUGCGCUUGGAGAGGGGGUCGCGGCUGAUUAGCUAGUUGGCGGGGUAACGGCCCACCAAGGCGAAAAUCGGUAUCCGGCCUGAGAGGGCGCACGGACACACUGGAACUGAAACACGGUCCAAACUCCUACGGGAGGCAGCAGUGGGGAAUAUUGCGCAAUGGGGGAAACCCUGACGCACCAACGCCGCGUGGAGGAUGAAGUCCCUUGGGACGUAAACUCCUUUCGACCAAAACGAUAAUGACGGUACUGGUGGAAAAAGCACCGGCUAACUCUGUGCCAGCAGCCGCGGUAAUACAAAGGGUGCGAGCGUUGUUCGGAAUUAUUGGGCGUAAAGGGCGCGUAGGCGGUGCCACAAGUCACCUGUGAAAUCUCCGGGCUUAACUCGGAGUCUGCAGGCGA
RNAcentral lists this ribosomal RNA (504 nucleotides) under uncultured bacterium. RNAcentral's name for it is "bacterial SSU rRNA". It matches the Rfam family "Bacterial small subunit ribosomal RNA", at positions 94 to 630 of the family's 1533-position model. The record is from RNAcentral.